Molecule: long non-coding RNA, 169 nt
Organism: Etheostoma cragini (Arkansas darter)
Lineage: Eukaryota; Metazoa; Chordata; Actinopteri; Perciformes; Percidae
Exons: 4
Source: RefSeq, a predicted model, not a curated record
GUGCAGGACCAUGUGAGCGGUGUCGUGAAGCAAUUCGUUACGUUGCGAGACCUGAUAUCAUGCGAUACUUCCUGACUCUGAGUCUGGCAACUCGCUGGACCAAAGUUGCGAGGGGGGGUUUCCGUUAACAGGCGCUAGGGGGGAGCGAGACGACCACCAUUCAACUCCA